This 484-nucleotide ribosomal RNA is filed under the name uncultured bacterium. Its description in RNAcentral is "partial 16S ribosomal RNA". It matches the Rfam family "Bacterial small subunit ribosomal RNA", at positions 30 to 507 of the family's 1533-position model. The record is from RNAcentral.
AUUGAACGCUGGCGGCAGGCCUAACACAUGCAAGUCGGGCGGAUGAAGGGAGCUUGCUCCUGGAUUCAGCGGCGGACGGGUGAGUAAUGCCUAGGAAUCUGCCUGGUAGUGGGGGAUAACGUCCGGAAACGGGCGCUAAUACCGCAUACGUCCUGAGGGAGAAAGUGGGGGAUCUUCGGACCUCACGCUAUCAGAUGAGCCUAGGUCGGAUUAGCUAGUUGGUGGGGUAAAGGCCUACCAAGGCGACGAUCCGUAACUGGUCUGAGAGGAUGAUCAGUCACACUGGAACUGAGACACGGUCCAGACUCCUACGGGAGGCAGCAGUGGGGAAUAUUGGACAAUGGGCGAAAGCCUGAUCCAGCCAUGCCGCGUGUGUGAAGAAGGUCUUCGGAUUGUAAAGCACUUUAAGUUGGGAGGAAGGGCAGUAAGUUAAUACCUUGCUGUUUUGACGGUACCAACAGAAUAAGCACCGGCUAACUUCGUG